GAUGAACGCUGGCGGCGUGCCUAAUACAUGCAAGUCGAGCGAACGGACGAGAAGCUUGCUUUUCUGAUGUUAGCGGCGGACGGGUGAGUAACACGUGGAUAACCUACCUAUAAGACUGGGAUAACUUCGGGAAACCGGAGCUAAUACCGGAUAAUAUUUUGAACCGCAUGGUUCAAAAGUGAAAGACGGUCGUGCUGUCACUUAUAGAUGGAUCCGCGCUGCAUUAGCUAGUUGGUAAGGUAACGGCUUACCAAGGCAACGAGGCAUAGCCGAACUGAGAGAGUGAUAGGCCACACUGGAACUGAGCCACGGUCCAGACUCCUGCGGUAGGCAGCAGUAGGGAAUCUUCCGCAAUGGGCGAAAGCCUGACGGAGCAACGCCGCGUGAGUGAUGAAGGUCUUCGGUUCGUAAAACUCUGUUAUUAGGGAAGAACAUAUGUGUAAGUAACUGUGCACAUCUUGACGGUACCUAAUCAGAAAGCCACGGCUAACUACGUG
This 497-nucleotide ribosomal RNA is filed under the name uncultured bacterium. RNAcentral describes it as "partial 16S ribosomal RNA". It matches the Rfam family "Bacterial small subunit ribosomal RNA", at positions 28 to 507 of the family's 1533-position model. The record is from RNAcentral.